This is an RNA transcript of Rosa chinensis, 2427 nucleotides long. RefSeq lists it as uncharacterized. Lineage: Eukaryota; Viridiplantae; Streptophyta; Magnoliopsida; Rosales; Rosaceae. The transcript is spliced from 5 exons. The record is from RefSeq and is a predicted model, not a curated record.
GCCAAAACCUAACCUAGCAGUAAACCGGAUAGAGCUUUGUCAACUCUCUCUCUCUCUCUCUCUCUCUCUCUCUCUCUCGGCCUCCCUCCGACUCACCAUCGCUCUCGGCCUCCCUCCGACUCACCAUCGCUUUCGGCCUCCCUCCGACCCUCCGACUCACCAUCGCUCUCACCCUCAAUCACUAUCGCUCUCACCCUCAAUCACUAUCGCUCUCGGCCUCCCUCCGACUCACCAUCGCUCUCACCCUCAAUCACCAUCGCUCUCGGCCUCCCUCCGAUUCACCAUCGAUCUCACCCUCAAAUUAGUUGGUUUGAUAACGUUCACUCCUCCAAAUUAGUUGGUUCGGUGAUUGAUCAAAUCUUGAUAGAGUUUGGUUCUUCUUGAUUGAGUGGAUAUGUGCAUAUUUUGGUCCGUCUCGACCAUCGUCGCUGCGAAAUUUGUGGGUGUUGGAUUGGUUUUCGGGUGCAGCUUCUGGGAUUUCUUUACUCCUUUGGUUCUUCAGCUCAGGAUUUCUUUCCCCAAAAAGGUAUAUUGAGUAUGUGUGUUGAAGGUACAUUGAAGGUAUACUGAGUAUGUGUGUUCUUCUGUUUGAGAAUUAUCUUCUUUCUAGGUUGCAUUUGAGUAUGUCUAUUGAAGGUACAAGUAUCAGUUCAACCCAUUCAAUUCUGGAAGGUACAAGUAAAUUCAGUUCUAGUACAAGUUCAAAAGGGAAUCUGGAAGCCUAAAUCUUAUAUUGUUUACUGGGUGCAGAUUUUGAUCAUGUUUGUUUGUUUGGUUUGAUAACAAAUGUUCUAGGGUCAUGAAAAAGUGUGGGGUUCAGGUUAUCUAAUAAUACUGGGAAAUUGGCAGGUUUUUCAGCUUCAUAGGACUGUUGAUUGGGUCUAUACUCAAGUAGAUAUCGAUUUGAUAUAUGAAUAUUUGAAAGCCUUGUGUGUUAGUUUUGUGAUUGAAUGAAGUUUAAGUGACCUUAGUUAAUGUAGCUAUUGGCCUUUACUUGAAUCAAUCCGCUUUUUGUUUUGUUUGUUUGUUUAGAAUUAAUUUAUUUUUGGUUGGAAAUUACUGGAGCUGAUCAUGUGUGUGAUUGAACCAAAUCAAUAAAGUGAUAAACAGAUAGCAAUUAGCAAAUCAUACUGUUGAAGAGUUCUACUCCUAGCUCUAUUCCAGAUCAUUACGACACCAAAGACUUCUACUCCUACCUCGUUCGUGGCAUCCUUAAGCCCCUCAACAUUCAACAAAGCUGUGUCAUCUGCCUCCUUCUUCGUUAAACCUGCUUUUAUUGUAAAGUUUUCCAUGCUUCUCUCUGUUUUUGUUUAAAUUUGUAAGCUUUUUCAUUGGUUUGUGUUUGUUUGGUAAAAAGAAACAAAAAGGUUAUGAACUGGGCUCUCUACAGGGGAAAAUUGGAAGCAAAGAUUAGGACCCUUUUUCAAAAUUGCUUAGAUUCAGUUCCUUUUAGUUGAUUUCUAACCUGGGUAUUACUUAAUCUGAGGCAAAGUAGGAUACUUUGUUAGACUAGGCUAAAGGUUUGGCUUUUUUUUUUAUAUUAAAAUUUCACCCAUUUUGCUCACCAUGUGUUACUCUAAUUGAACCAGAAUCUUGGUAUCAAAGUCUUUCUUUCGUGAAAAAAGAAAAGGGUAGGGAACUCUGGGUUCAAUUUGAUUUUGUUUCUAUGUAUUGGCUAAUUGGCAACAGAAGCAAGUUUUCACUGGCAUUUGUUCAUUGAUGGGUUCUCUAUCAGUAAUGAGUGUUAAAGCCCUAGGAACUGCUCUAAAAUUAACUUUUGAGGGAAAGAAUCAGUUAAUCUAUCCAGAGACAUGGUUUUUUAUGUUGGUUGUAACUACAUGUAUCAUCACUCAGAUGAACUAUCUGAACAAGACAUUAGACUGCAGUUAAUGUUGAUGAGGCAGCAAGAGAACUUCAAAAGAUUCUAGACAGUGGAGAACAGAUAGGAUUGAAGCAUUUUAAGCCUAUAAAGCCCUUGGGAUCUGGUGAUACUGGCAGUGUGCAUUUGGUCCAAUUGUGUGGAACUGAUCAGUACUACCCAUGAAGGCUAUGGAUAAGGGUAUCAUGCUCAAUAGGAACAAGGUAUUGGAUAGUUUGCUGACCAUUAAGUGCAAAUCAAUUUGUUUCAGUGGGAGAAAAAAGGGAAAGCACCAUAUACCCAGCAGCAUAUUGAUGAAGUCAGAAACGAGUGGGCAAAAUUUGUUGUUAAAACAUAUAUGUAAGCUUGUGGUUGGGUAUCGACUUAUUUUGGUAACCUUGAUUUUACAAGAUAUAUAGACAAUAUUAUUAUUACUUGCUAGAUUGAGGUUACUUUUGGUUAGAAUUGCUGGAUAUAGAUAUGUACUUUUGGAAAUGUUUUGGUUUGGCAAUGUAAGAACAGAUGGCAUUGAUAUAUGACAAUGUUAUAUUUUGGAUUUGUUCAGGAUA